AUUUGCCAUAUUUAUGAUCUCAUACAGAAAGCUACUCAUAUAAAAGAAACAUGACAUUCCAUUUUAACCACAAACUCACUAAAAUCAUAUUCACUGACCAAUAACAUGCUUUCUCGCACUACCAACCCUUCGCCAAGGUUCGUCCACUACCACCUUUCUAUCUCUGGUACGUAUUUUGUUAUCUUAUAAAACAUAAUUUUACUUUUUUAAGAAAUAUAAGUCUUUUUAAAAUUUGUAUUUAGUAUAUAAGUAGUGGUCGAGGUGAACGUGCUAGAGGUAAAAGUAGCUGCAGUGGUGGUGGUCGAGUAGGUCAAAGUAGCCGUAGUGGUGGUGGUCGAGAUACAACAGCAUAUAGGAAUGCGGAAAUCAGUUACCAAUUUAAUAAAGCUACAUUUGAGGGACAAAUCAACGAGUGAGAAUACUUGCCGGUGUACGUAAAUGCAGGCGAUGAGAACGAGUCUCAAACUAUGAUCUAGCCUCGUCACGAGUCUCAUAAAAUAUAUCACGAUAAGUUUUUGCCAACGAUCUUCACUCACGAGAAUGGUAGGAGACAUAACACACUCUAUAAUAUGUACACCGUCUAUUUAAAGACGUAUGUACAUGUAAUGCCACUUUUAAUGCAAUACUAUUCCAUCUCAUAAUUGACAAUAUCAUUCAAUUAUAAGUAUCUCUAUAAGACCUAUUAAUUUAUCAAGAGUGUUAUCAAAUUCAUAAUUUAUUUGCUGUAGAUGAACUUAUCACUUUCUUCACUUAAUUUAAAGCAUAACUUCGUCGCUCAUGAAAAUAAAUUGAAACUUUGUCGGCUUACGUUUUGUGACUUGUUCACCUCCGAAUAAAACAAUGACUUGUUCUUCUUGCUAGUGCGUUGGAGCCAUCAAAGUUUUUGAUGAUUAUUCACACGUUAAUAAGAAUAACAAAUUCGUUAGUUUUAUUAUGGGAUGAACAGUCACAAAACGUAAGUCGAUAAAGUUUCAACUUAUUUUCAUGAACGACGAAAUUAUGCUCUAAGUUAAGUGGAAAAAAA
RNAcentral lists this long non-coding RNA (1024 nucleotides) under Salvia miltiorrhiza (redroot sage). RNAcentral describes it as "long non-coding RNA (SMIL_LNC001625)". The record is from RNAcentral. Lineage: Eukaryota; Viridiplantae; Streptophyta; Magnoliopsida; Lamiales; Lamiaceae.